CCCAGACUCCUACGGGAGGCAGCAGUGGGGAAUAUUGGACAAUGGGGGGAACCCUGAUCCAGCGACGCCGCGUGAGUGAAGAAGUAUUUCGGUAUGUAAAGCUCUCUCAGCAGGGAAGAAAGAAAUGACGGUACCUGGGGAGGAAGCCCCGGCUAACUACGUGCCAGCAGCCGCGGUAAUACGUAGGGGGCAAGCGUUAUCCGGAUUUACUGGGUGUAAAGGGAGCGUAGACGGUUAUGUAAGUCUGGAGUGAAAGCCCGGGGCCCAACCCCGGGACUGCUUUGGAAACUGUGUAACUGGAGUACAGGAGGGGCAGGCGGAAUUCCUGGUGUAGCGGUGAAAUGCGUAGAUAUCAGGAGGAACACCGGCGGCGAAGGCGGCCUGCUGGACUGAAACUGACGUUGAGGCUCGAAAGCGUGGGGAGCAAACAGGAUUAGAUACCCGGGUA
Molecule: ribosomal RNA, 448 nt
Filed under: uncultured bacterium
Lineage: Bacteria
Description: bacterial SSU rRNA
Rfam family: Bacterial small subunit ribosomal RNA
Source: RNAcentral